RNAcentral lists this ribosomal RNA (497 nucleotides) under uncultured bacterium. Its description in RNAcentral is "partial 16S ribosomal RNA". It matches the Rfam family "Bacterial small subunit ribosomal RNA", at positions 28 to 507 of the family's 1533-position model. The record is from RNAcentral.
GAUGAACGCUGGCGGCGUGCCUAAUACAUGCAAGUCGAGCGAACAGACGAGGAGCUUGCUCCUCUGACGUUAGCUGCGGACGGGUGAGUAACACGUGGAUAACCUACCUAUAAGACUGGGAUAACUUCGGGAAACCGGAGCUAAUACCGGAUAAUAUAUUGAACCGCAUGGUUCAAUAGUGAAAGACGGUUUUGCUGUCACUUAUAGAUGGAUCCGCGCCGCAUUAGCUAGUUGGUAAGGUAACGGCUUACCAAGGCGACGAUGCGUAGCCGACCUGAGAGGGUGAUCGGCCACACUGGAACUGAGACACGGUCCAGACUCCUACGGGAGGCAGCAGUAGGGAAUCUUCCGCAAUGGGCGAAAGCCUGACGGAGCAACGCCGCGUGAGUGAUGAAGGUCCUCGGAUCGUAAAACUCUGUUAUUAGGGAAGAACAAAUGUGUAAGUAACUAUGCACGUCUUGACGGUACCUAAUCAGAAAGCCACGGCUAACUACGUG